AGGUUGCCUGAAGAACAGGAGCUAGUCAAGAACAGCUGGAGUCCACACAGGGAUAGCAUCCCAAGCAUCCCACUCCGAGGGAAAAGUGAUGUGACCUUGUAGUCAUCAGACAGGAGACCCAGAAUAGGAUACUGAUUCCUGUACCUGCAGAGAGUUGAAAAGGUUGCUUAACAGAGCCUAAACAAAGGAAAGCCCAAAGGAUGUGUUUCUCACAAAGGUGAAUAACACGUUACUUUUUAGUGAUGAUGGCUGUCACCCCAGGGGACUGACUGCCCGAAAACUUGUCAUGCUUCAGUCUGAAGAGCUCCUGACAAAACCAAAAGCAAACACUGAUGUCAAGUCAUGUCUUCUGAAGUAUCAGCUCAGUAAAGCCCCAACAAAAUAUUUGCAGAAAUUCGUCUCAACAGUCUGAAAAUCUGCCCUUCCAGAAGGCUGGCAGAGGAACAGCAUUCAGGUUGAACAAAUCCUAACCCCCUUUCCUGAGCCAGGAGAGGACAAGGGACUUCCUGGUUCGGUUCCACCUACACAGUACAUGGAGGCUUAAACACAAAAACCCUCAGAGGAAUAACUUGUAUCAUUUUACCUCUUGCUGUUGUUUAAUAAAAGCCUCUUUGUCCUCCA
Long non-coding RNA from Melospiza melodia melodia, 621 nucleotides. RefSeq lists it as uncharacterized. The transcript is spliced from 2 exons. NCBI's taxonomy places the organism in Eukaryota, Metazoa, Chordata, Aves, Passeriformes, Passerellidae. The record is from RefSeq and is a predicted model, not a curated record.